AUUUGGGCUGCCGUUUGCCAGACGGAGAGAACGAGUCCCAGGGAAUGGAAGCGAUUUGCCCAACACUUGGUAGCUUCUAAGAGUAGAGCAGGGCUGGGACCUACAUCCCCUGACUGCUGCACAGGAAUCCUGUCUCUAGUCCAAGACAGAACAACCCGUCUUCUAACCCAAGAUGCUGGUCACACGGGAGGGUGGAGGUUGGGAGAGCUGGGUGGGAGGAAAAGGGAGGGGACCUACUCCAGAGGGUAAGACCUUCUAAGUGAGGCGGUGCCUUAACUUUGAAGCUCAGCAAAACCACAGAGGGAGGUGUCAUCGGGCCCCACCUUUCUUUCCAGCUUCAUCUCCUGCCACACUCAGCAUCUCCUUCCCAUCCCCCUCUUCUGACCACACAACCACCAAGCUACUGCUCCCACCUCAACAAGCUUUGCUUGGACCCAGCGCACGCUCUUUCAACAUCUGUGCCUUUACCCAUGGUGCUCCAGGGCUGCCUAGUACAGCUGUGCAAGUUGGACACAGCACAAGGGUGCCACAUGCACGUUGUAGACGUCGCAGAUUUAUACCAAUAAUUUCUGGCAGAUGGCAGUAAAACGUCUCGAGGAGAAAGAUCCCAGUUUGGUGCAAACGUGUCUUUCAUACCUCUCUCCAGAGCUUGCUCAUCGCUCAUCUUGACAAAGAGCAAGGCAGGCUGACAGCCUUGAUGAGGCAGUGGUGUCUGCUGAGCAUUCAAUACUUGGCCUUCUGUAAAUUGUAUUUAUUUAUACGAUUGCUUUCUAUCUAUGGCAUAUGAUGCUGACUUUCCGCUUCCUGUAGCGUUAUAAAGUUUUAUGUACAAAUCAA
Equus asinus (donkey) is the source of this 837-nucleotide long non-coding RNA. NCBI's taxonomy places the organism in Eukaryota, Metazoa, Chordata, Mammalia, Perissodactyla, Equidae. The record is from Ensembl.